Molecule: ribosomal RNA, 545 nt
Filed under: Perrona subspirata
Lineage: Eukaryota; Metazoa; Mollusca; Gastropoda; Neogastropoda; Turridae
Description: partial 12S ribosomal RNA
Source: RNAcentral
CACCAAGAAAUUAAGUCAUAUAUAUACGGUAAAAAGACAGUUAGACUCUAAAAUAAGGGUUUCCUGACUAUUUAUGAAAAAGUAAAAUUUGAACAUAAAUAUGUAAUUCUUUCGUGACCUAGAAGUUGAAUCUGUGACAGCCUUGAGGGAAACUGGGAUUAGAUACCCCACUAUUCUUGGCUAUAAACUAAAUGAAAUUUACCAGGGUACUAUGAAUAUUAAAAUUUAAAACUCAAAGGGCUUGGCGGUGUUUUAGACCCCUCAGGGGAACCUGUCUCAUAAUCGAUAAUCCACGCAGUACCUAACCUCUUUUUGCUAAUUCAGCCUGUAUACCGUUGUCGUCAGGUAACUUUUUAAAAAUUAGGAGUUAGCUAAAAAUAAAAGUAAAUUAAUACGUCAAAUCAAGGUGCAGCCUAUAAGGAGGAGAGGAUGGGUUACAAUUAUAAAAUUAUAAUUACGGAAAAUCAUAAGAAUAAAUGAUAUAAAGGAGGACUUGAAAGUAAAUUAGAAUAUAAAAAUAAUUUGAAUAAGGCUCUGAAAUGUGU